This 572-nucleotide long non-coding RNA is filed under the name Triticum aestivum (bread wheat). RNAcentral describes it as "long non-coding RNA (TAES_LNC015591)". The record is from RNAcentral. Lineage: Eukaryota; Viridiplantae; Streptophyta; Magnoliopsida; Poales; Poaceae.
AAAAAGCAUGACUGCUUGAAAGCUGGCUGCAGUUGCGGUGUAAAGAGAGUAAAGAGUAACAAAAUUUCGGGUGUACCUAGAUUCUUAUUUUUCAAAAUCAAAACGCAGAUGCUGUCCCGGAUAUAUAGAAAUGCUCGUUACCAAUUAAUCCUUUAAAAAGGUCACCAAUAUAUAUAAUCAAUCUUGUCCUGCUGCAGGCUGCAGCUGAUGAAUUCUGUACUAGUAGUAUUUUGCCAUCUGAAUCUGAAUCUGAAAGAAAGAAAAAAAGCAGUGAGAGGCAACAAGUAGUCGUCAUGGAAGAUUUUGUACGUAGCUAAAACAUGUGAAAGCAACAAGCAGAGGAUGAGGAAGCUACAAGAAGCUGAAAGCAGUGCUGCCACUGACGAACUAAUCCCUAAUUCAUUGAUUGAUUGAUUGGACUGAGCUAAACCAGAUUUAGAGCCAUAGAGAGGGGAGGAUGAGGAAGCUGCGGUGCCGCACCUCCGCGACCUCCGACCCCCGCCGCCGCCUCGAGUCGACCAUCCACCCAUUCCGCUGCCGCCCCGACUCGACCUCCUCUUCCCGGAUAAGCU